UUGGUGUCACCUCGCCUGAAC
RNAcentral lists this microRNA (21 nucleotides) under Aegilops tauschii. Its description in RNAcentral is "ata-miR1432-3p". Lineage: Eukaryota; Viridiplantae; Streptophyta; Magnoliopsida; Poales; Poaceae. The record is from miRBase by way of RNAcentral.